UGGGCCGGUGGGAGAGGGAGGCGAGCCGACCACUGGGCUGUUGGGUUCCCGCGCCCUCGCGCUCCCCGCCGCCAGCCCAAGCGCAGGCAGGGCGCAGGCGGCGGCGGGCGGCAUGGAGAGCCUGCUGGAGAACCCGGUGCGUGCCGUGCUCUACCUCAAGGAGCUCACGGCCAUCGUGCAGAACCAGCAGAGCCUUAUCCACACCCAGCGAGAGCGUAUCGACGAGCUGGAGCGGCGGCUGGACGAGCUGAGCGCUGAGAACCGCAGCCUGUGGGAGCACCAGCAGCUGCUGCAAGCCCAGCCUCCGCCCGGGCUGGUCCCCCCGUCAUCGGCCCCGCUGCCGGCCGCUCCGGCCGCCGCUCCCCCCGCCGCCGCCAGGGCCCAGGAACCUCUCCAGGACCAGGGACAGCGCUCAGCAGCCGCGCCGCAGCCCGCGCCCGAGCUGCCGUCGCUUCAGCACCACGGACAGCUCCUGGAGCAGCCCCAGCUGGGCCCUGGCAGCAGGGCUCACACACCUCAGUCGCCCCACAAGCAUCUGGGGACACAGGGGGCCGUGACUGACAAGGAGAAGGAGCGUCCCCCGAGUUGCUGCGCUGCUGCCGGAGCCCGCCUUCAGCACAAAUCCCCCUCCGCCCUCGGCAAGGGCGUCCUGAGCAGGAGACCUGAGUGAGCGGGGAGAGGAGAUGGGCUCUGUUGUGGUGGGAGCAAGGGAAGCAAGUGGGUGUGCGGGAGAGCCGCGGACGUUGGGUGCGUAGGAGUCUAAAGGACCGGAGUGAUGUGGCCUGAAGGGGCCAGGAGUGUGUAAAGGAGAUUUUGGGUAAAUGAGGGAACGAUAUCCGUGCUUGAGAAGGUUUUGGGGAAUGUUGGAGCAAAAAGGAGUAACCAGACAUUAGUAGGGGCAAAGGAGGAAGGAGGUGGGUGUUAAGUGAUUGGUGAUAAUGGAAACUGAGAGCAUUUAAAGGGGGUUAGGCUGGGAUGAAGUUCGAGUGAAGAUUAAACUGUAGAAAAGAGAACCAUUGAAGGAAUCUUUUUAAGUGAGAAAAAAUUUGGAAGGAAGUUUGGGUGGUAAAAGUAUUUGAAUGGAGACUGAGAUGCGAGAAAAGCUGAAGACUUGGAAAGAGGCAUGUGAAGAGCUUUGAAAAGGCUGGGGCCCAGGAAGAGUAGGACCAGGGUAGAGGGGAAUUCAGGAGGCCAGGGACAAACCUGAAAAGCAGGAGUGAUGUGGGAAACCAGGGAGCUGCAGGCAGAGGAAGAGAAAAUGUGGCUCUUUAGCUGGUGAAGUGGGAGUCACAGCUAGGAGUGGCUCAUUUGGGGAAGCUUUCUCUUCUCUGACCUGAGUGGGCACCCUUGUUCUGAAUUCCCGCAGAGCCGAAGGGGUGUAAGGGAAUAUCCCAUCAAACCAGCGGAGGACUCAGGCAUGGUUUGAGGGCUCAGUCUGGCUACAGCUUUUUCUUCCAACUCAAGGAGGGUUUUUCAUACGAGGUGUUUGGCCAUUGUUGAAAGGGAACAAUGACAUGAGGGACAGUUGGCAGAUGGAGUUGGUAUUCAGAUGUCAUGCCCGUUUAAAUCUCCCUGCUAAGGCCAGCAACUGCAAACCUUAUUUUCCCUGGUUAUCUGCUGAUCACUGAAAUACUGUCUUGGGUCCUGAGAGAAAUGUUAACCUCUCAGUUCCUAGGACUUCAAGCUCUUUCUUCACUCACGAGGUCUGUGAAAUAGGAAUAUGGGAAGAAGAUAUGAAAGUGUCUGAGACGUUUUCUCCUCUGUACUGGAAAGGCUGUGGCCAUGUCAGCUUCUUUUCUCUGAUUAGACAAGUGACAGAGAACUAAAUAAAGAACAGUUCAAGGGAAAAUAUACCUGGUCAGCACCCGACCCUGACGAUGGUGAUGCUAAAGAGAAUGCGGAGGGGGAAAGUAGAGCUGAGAAUCUCAUCUUCAUCCAGUUGCAUUAAGUCUGGGAGAUGCUUGUGAAUAUUUGCUAUAAUCCUUCAAAACUCAUUUUCUCUUCCCAUCUGUGGUAGAGUUACAGAAGUUGGGUUAGGCCAGGGUAGCUCACAGAGUAUGUUGAUCAAAACCACGGGAUCUAGGAGGUGAAGGUCUAACACGAUCUGGCUUGGCAGACUUAAAACAUUUGAUUCAAGUCCCAAGAAGGCACAGUUUUCUACCCCAACUCCUUCAAAACCCCUUUGUACUUCCCUCAGGAAAACAUUUGAAGGGUUAAAAGUCACAUUUUUAUUUUUAUUUUUCCUUAUCUGGCAUAAAAAGCAGAAAGUCAGUUUUCCCUCAAUGCCCAAGGCUCAGCAAAAGGCAACAUUGUUCCAAGAUACUAAGCGGUCUUCUCCCCCACAUGAGGGGAUGAAUUUUUCCAGUCCCCUUCCCUGAGGGCAACUACAGCUACCUGGUCAUUAUGAUUUCUCUCCUCAUGACUUUUGGUGUCUCCUUUCUCUCCCACUGCAUCUCCACUUUCUUUGCAUCCCUUCAGGGCACUGUGUGGCCAAGAAGAGUUGAGGAAAGUUUAUUUUUCUUGGACAAAGACAUUGCCAUGGCCUUCAGAGUGGCCUAUGGAACCCGAACCCUUUCAUUCAGUUGGCCCUGCUAGGAAUCCUGGGGUUUAGGAAUCAUCUGGGCUCCUGUCCAGCCCCACAUGUCAAUUCUGGAGAGGAACUGUGACAUCCUCAUCUUUCCUUCUCACCUGUCCUGCUUUUGCUUCCCAAAGGAGCAGAACAAAAAUAAGAAAUAAUUAGCAUGGUGG
Molecule: RNA transcript, 2748 nt
Organism: Rhinopithecus roxellana (golden snub-nosed monkey)
Lineage: Eukaryota; Metazoa; Chordata; Mammalia; Primates; Cercopithecidae
Gene name: IQ motif and SEC7 domain-containing protein 3 pseudogene
Exons: 1
Source: RefSeq, a predicted model, not a curated record